GCAGGCGCGAAAACUUUACAAUGCGGGAAACCGUGAUAAGGGAACACCGAGUGCCAGCAUCAUAUGCUGGCUGUCCAGGUGUGUAAACUACAUCUGUUAGCAAGGGCCGGGCAAGACCGGUGCCAGCCGCCGCGGUAACACCGGCGGCCCGAGUGGUGACCGUUAUUAUUGGGUCUAAAGGGUCCGUAGCCGGUUUGGUCAGUCCUCCGGGAAAUCUGAUAGCUUAACUGUUAGGCUUUCGGGGGAUACUGCCAGGCUUGGAACCGGGAGAGGUAAGAGGUACUACAGGGGUAGGAGUGAAAUCUUGUAAUCCCUGUGAGACCACCUGUGGCGAAGGCGUCUUACCAGAACGGGUUCGACGGUGAGGGACGAAAGCUGGGGGCACGAACCGGAUUAGAUACCCGGGUAGUCCCAGCCGUAAACUAUGCUCGCUAGGUGUCAGGCAUGGCGCGACCGUGUCUGGUGCCGCAGGGAAGCCGUGAAGCGAGCCACCUGGGAAGUACGGCCGCAAGGCUGAAACUUAAAGGAAUUGGCGGGGGAGCACAACAACGGGUGGAGCCUGCGGUUUAAUUGGACUCAACGCCGGACAACUCACCGGGAACGAC
Molecule: ribosomal RNA, 605 nt
Filed under: uncultured archaeon
Lineage: Archaea
Description: bacterial SSU rRNA
Rfam family: Archaeal small subunit ribosomal RNA
Source: RNAcentral